Dipodomys ordii (Ord's kangaroo rat) is the source of this 70-nucleotide non-coding RNA. NCBI's taxonomy places the organism in Eukaryota, Metazoa, Chordata, Mammalia, Rodentia, Heteromyidae. The record is from Rfam.
GGGAAGGUAGCUCAGUGGUAGAGCACUUGACUUUCAUGCAGGAGGCCCUGGGUUCAAUUCCUCAGCACCA